GAGGGCUUCAUGGGGUCUGUGCUCCAGGUCUGGGUGAUCGCCAACAAAGUGCAGGGCAGCCACAGCCUGAGCCGGGGUACAGUGUGUCAUCGCACCGGCGUGCAGCCUCACGAGCCCAAGGGCCACGGCUGGGACUACGGCAUCGGGGGAGGCUGGGACCAUAUCUCUGUCCGGGCCAAUGCCACCAGGGCCCCCCGGAGCUCGUCCCAGGAGCAGGAGCCGAGUGCCCCACCAGAGGCCCAUGGCCCCGUCUGCUGCUGAGGCCCCCCCACACACCUACAUGCAGGGACGGUGCCCAGUUUGGGGGAUCAAGGCUGAGCCAUUCUUGUGCUGGAGUGUGCACCAUGGGAGCAAUGUGGCCCAGGUGGACUCAGGAGGGAACCUGGCCCCAAGGCUGCGGCCACUUCAGAGGCACUGGCUGAGACGGCCCUGAAAUGUGAAGCUCCGCGGACACUCCCGCACGUGUCCCCGUCUGCGAGGAGUCCCGGGGUGUGGGGCAUGGGGUGGGGCUGCACCUCCCAGAGGCCCCUCCCACCCUUCCCUUCCCCUCUCCCUUCUGCCUUUCCAGGACUAGAACCGGGAACCUGGAGCCCUCCGGGAACACCGGCCCUGGGGCAGCAGAGCCAGGAUGGAGCCCUCCUGAGCUGGCAUCUCAGACAGCACCCGGGCCCGCCACCCCUCACCAAGAGAGACGGCCAUGGGGCUCAGGGCCUCUUUACCAUGUGCAGUGACCAUUUCUCAGAGCAGGACUUGCAAAGAGGCUUUAAUUUCAAAAGUGAAGGAAGGAGGCCGGGCGCCGUGGCUCACGCCUGUAAUCCCAGCACUUUGGGAGGCUGAGGUGGGCAGAUCACCUAGGUCAAGAGUUUCAAACCAGACUGGCCAACAUAGUGA
This 891-nucleotide small RNA is filed under the name Pan troglodytes (chimpanzee). Its description in RNAcentral is "retained intron". Lineage: Eukaryota; Metazoa; Chordata; Mammalia; Primates; Hominidae. The record is from RNAcentral.